This 1391-nucleotide long non-coding RNA is filed under the name Homo sapiens (human). RNAcentral describes it as "non-protein coding lnc-APIP-1:10". Lineage: Eukaryota; Metazoa; Chordata; Mammalia; Primates; Hominidae. The record is from RNAcentral.
ACUCUUCUCUCUCCUGCUGCCAUGUGAGAAGGUCCAAGCUUACUUUCCCUUUGCCUUCCAACAUGAUGAGUUUUCCAGCUGGAUUUGAUGUCACUUUCCCAUGCUGUCACUAAUCCCCAGCCACAACAGAAUGGGUCACACUCUUCUGCACUUUGGACCCUUUGCCCAUGCCAGAGUUAUCCGCUGACCCUCUUCCCAUGGCUGUCACCUCUUCAAAAAGGUCCACUGAACCUGAAGUAGAUGUCCUCCCUCUAUUAAGAUUCAACGUAUCAAAUCCACCCUUUCAAAGUCUUAGACUAGCACCUGGCAUACAUCUCCUUGCUGACAAAAAAGGAAAUGACUUCUGAAGACAUGAAAAAAAAAAAACAGGGUGAAGACAAAUUGGGUUAGAAUAACCCAUGACCUAGAUCAUUAGACUUUGACUAAUGAAGAACUGCCUUUUAACAGAGUUAAAAUUGACAGCACCAUGGCCUCACACCCAACAGGGUUUGAGGCUGGACCCUUCUUUGACAAACGAUGCCCUGAUUUACGCGCAAAAAUACCCAUCACAGCAUUAUUUAUAAUAUUCCCUGUCCAAUGCUGGGGACCUAGUUCAAUUAGCUAUAGAACAGCCAUUUGAUGAAAUAUUAUAAAGCUAUUAAAAUAAUAGGGGCAAAGAAAUUUUAAAACAUGGGGAAAGCCUUGAUGUUGUAAUAUUAAAUGAAUGAAGGAAUUCUAUGAAUGAAACUCAUUAAAACAUGUCUUCACAGUAGCUGCAUUGAUUGCACAUUUACUAUCGUUCAGGCAUCUUUUCCAAAUGUGAUACAGGAGGGCAAGCUUGGAAACAAGACGGGAACCUCUUGAUCCAUGGCACAAUGCUGUCGACCCCUAAGUUCUUCCUCUUUAUCUAAACCCAGGUUUGGAAGUACACCAAAAUAUUAAUACUAUACAUCAUUGCAAGCUUUCCUUCUUUGAUCCUCUGUAUUUUGUAAAUGUUCCAACACCUUUUAAAAUACACUUUUGUUCUCCUUUAAAGUCUCCCUGAGAGCUUCUAGAAGGCAGCUGCUGUGGGCUCACAUCAUCCAUCCUUCCCCCCGCAAAUGUGUAAAUAAAGAAACACCUCUGUGCCUUUAAAUUAUAACAGGCUAAACUUUCCCCUGUAAGUUGAUACUCAGACCAGAAGUCUGUGGGUAGGAAGAGUGUUGUGUUUUUUUGUUGCAGCUUCUUUUGGCUGAUAAACUAGCACUUAAGUGUUUCCCUUUUCCAAACCCCCAAAUGACAAGUAUCUUUGUGGUAAAGUGAUGGCCCAACUGUCAUGGCCAUCAUAAACGGUGCUGAGGACACUUAUUUUUAGUUUACUGUCUAAGGAAGCACUAGGCUUGCUAACCAGAGACCUUGGGGCCCAAACCCCU